UACAGAGGAUGCAAGCGUUAUCCGGAAUUAUUGGGCGUAAAGCGUCUGUAGGUGGCUUUUUAAGUCCGCCGUCAAAUCCCAGGGCUCAACUCUGGACAGGCGGUGGAAACUACCAAGCUGGAGUACGGUAGGGGCAGAGGGAAUUUCCGGUGGAGCGGUGAAAUGCGCAGAGAUCGGAAGGAACACCGAUGGCGAAAGCAGCGCGCUGGACCUUUACUGACGCUGAGGCGCGAAAGCCAGGGGAGCAAACGGG
This 253-nucleotide ribosomal RNA is filed under the name uncultured bacterium. RNAcentral describes it as "partial 16S ribosomal RNA". It matches the Rfam family "Bacterial small subunit ribosomal RNA", at positions 524 to 776 of the family's 1533-position model. The record is from RNAcentral.